This 1260-nucleotide ribosomal RNA is filed under the name Triticum aestivum (bread wheat). RNAcentral's name for it is "partial small subunit ribosomal RNA". The record is from RNAcentral. Lineage: Eukaryota; Viridiplantae; Streptophyta; Magnoliopsida; Poales; Poaceae.
AUGUCCAGCAUCAUUCCCACAUCGGUUCUUGACAAUGACAACCUUCUGGUAGAAAUCCUUACUAGGCUAUCAUGCACUCGUUCACUUAUUCGCAGCUCAGCUGUUAAUCCCCAAUGGAUGUCUGUAUCUAGAUCUCAGUCUUUCCUUCAGGCAUAUUCUCGUCGCAAUCGCCCGGCAGUGCUCGGAUUCUUGGCAGAGUUCGAGCGUGGUUAUAGUCUCCAUUUUCGUGUUGUGGAUGCAUUAGCUUUUCAAGGUGAGUCGACUAGAGCUCUGCUUCGUUCCCGUAUAGAUGAUUAUUCCCUAUCACAGAAACGCAUACUAGCAUCUGAAUCUGGUGAGCUGCUAGUAAGUAUUAUCAACCCUCCCUUCGUUUCCUCUGAAACGGGCGAGACUGUCGUCGAUGGCUACUACACCUUGUUCCCUAGCUCGUUUCCACCAGUAUACUACUUGGUUGCGUCUCGUAUCCCUCGAGUCCCUCGCAUGCAUGGCCAGCACAGCCCAAACUUUUACGGCCAAUUUGGCAUUCUGCCAGCAGCCGGCCAGAUCGGGUUCUCUUUCUUUGUCAAGGACGCAGCCGGCCCUUUUCUGAAAACAUACGAUGGUAUUAAAUUCAGGUCUAAAUCUGAUUUCCACGUAUAUGUAUGUGUUUUCAGAGGUGGUGUUUGGUCAAGAUUUGUGUCGGCUCCUUUUGAAUAUCGUUCUCCUUGCAUCUUUCACUUAGAUCCUUACUCCGUUUUAGCCGGGAGCUCAUUAUACAUGAUGUAUGUCGUGGGCAUGAUCAUCUGUUUCGACAUUCCUAGCUCUACGUUCACUGUUGUCCAUCUACCAAUAUCAGCCAGAUCCUGUUUUGACUACAGUGUUUCCCUAAACGAGUCUGGCAUCUUGUCUCUUGUUAACUGUUCACAUGGCUUGCUCAAUACGUGGCUGCUUCAACUAGUACACGGCCGCUUGCAGUGGAGCUGUUGCUCAAGAUUAGAUUUAGUAAAGGCAUUUUCUAGCAGGGGUGGACCUACCAUAUGGCAGUCUGCAUUUGGCAUGGAGUACGGGGAGGUUGGCCCUGGUGAUUUCUACUCCGUUCAGAUCAGAUCAGCCAGCAAGAACUCAUCAGUUGUUCUGCUAACCUUCGCAUUCGACCAUGGCAUGUUUGUCGUGGACACUGUUAACGACACUGUUAAUGAGGUUCACUGGUUGCCCGAGGAUGGAGACAUGAGGCAAGCAUUCCCCUUGACGGAGCGUUGGCCACCGACUUUCCGUGACUGA